Lycium barbarum (goji berry) is the source of this 1376-nucleotide long non-coding RNA. RefSeq lists it as uncharacterized. Lineage: Eukaryota; Viridiplantae; Streptophyta; Magnoliopsida; Solanales; Solanaceae. The record is from RefSeq and is a predicted model, not a curated record. The transcript is spliced from 2 exons.
ACUUGUCACAUUUUUAUUGGUCAUUUAAUUCAAACUUAAAAUCCUAAGAUCCCAAAUGCCAUGAGUUGACCAUCUUACCCCCAACUUAACCUUCCUAAAUGACCUGAAUAACCCUCUGUCAUAUCUCAAACCCUAAUCUUCUCCUCAUACGCCUCUUUUUUCUUUUCUAUGGCAGAAAGUGUUUGUCCCUUUGUCCAUUUUUGAUUGAUUCCCACCCUUCCAUCAACCAAGUUUAGAUUUUUCCCUUCUCAAUUCGAGUAAAGAUUCUGCUUUGCUACUGAUUUCAGCACCUCAUAGGAAGGUUUUCCAAAUUUAUGUAUCAGGAGAGUCAAAUAUCUCCGAUUCAGACCAAGACUUCUCCAUUUUCGGGUAAGAUCUGAAAUCGUAUCUUCAAUACAAGACAAACAUCGAUGAGUUCGAGCAAGGAUGACAAACGUUUACCUCUGCACUUCUGUUUAUAUUUCCCUUUUCUAACAAAGAAAUAUGAUUUUUGCUCUGCCCAAAAAAUCACUCUGAGAUUUGGCCAUUUUCUAACGUUUGCAAUCCCUAUUUUCAAAAACCCCGCCCAAAGUCAACCUUAAGAACCCUAGCUCGUAGCUAUAAAUAGGACCCUUUAGCAUUCAUUUAGGAGAGGUGGAACAACCACGACAUCUCAUCCUAAAAAAAAAACAACAAGAACAACCAUUGCGUCUUGCUAAAAAAAAAAACAGCCGCAUAUCAUCCUAAACCUCUAUAUUUUACCUUUUCCGUUUGAAACUUUGGUUAAUCUAAGUGGGUUCGGGUUCGUCGUGUUUUGAGUCUGGAUCCGGGACCUAAAAACUCUAGUUGACUGCACACGAGAAAGUUACGAGGAGUCUCAAACUAGACUCGAUAUUCCCGUUAGAUCAAGGAAAACUUGCAUUUCGCCCUAUCAAGUAUCUAUCGCUCUAUGCAUUCGAACGAAGUCGAAAAGGGAUAACGAAGUUAUCAUCCCUCAUUAUUCAGUUCCUCGCCCUCUCCCAUCCGAAUUGAAAAAUGAAAUGGGAGCAGGGGAAUCCUCUAUCUUAGUUCUCUUUUAUUUGAUUCGGUCAUAACCUUGCUAUUUUAGUAAUGUUUCUAACGUGAUCCUCUUAAUAUUGAGUAUAGGACCAAUACUGGUAUUAACUUAGAAAUAAUAGUUGAUAUAAGGGGAAACCGGUAGUUUUUUUAGAAGUCCUUUAUAAUAUUUAUAAUGUUUUCAAUGUUUUGAGAAUUUAGGUGUAUAUUGGUAGGCUUUUUUUAUUUCACUGGUAGUAUUGCAUAGAAGAAGAAGACGUGGUUCAUUUUUAAGCUUGUUCCAAACUGACUUUUGAACCUGGGCAACUUCCUUUGAGAUAAUUAAAAGUUGAUUUUCUACA